GGGCCCGUCGCCUAGCCAGGAUAGGGCGCCAGCCUCCUAAGCUGGUUGUCGGGGGUUCGAAUCCCUCCGGGCCCG
This 75-nucleotide transfer RNA is filed under the name Nanobdellota archaeon. RNAcentral describes it as "Nanoarchaeota archaeon tRNA-Arg". It matches the Rfam family "tRNA". From Rfam's summary of the family: Transfer RNA (tRNA) molecules are approximately 80 nucleotides in length. The record is from RNAcentral. Lineage: Archaea; Nanobdellati; Nanobdellota.